UAGGGAAGGUGCGGCAAGGGACGAAAGUCUGACCGAGCAACGCCGCGUGAGUGAAGAAGGUUUUCGGAUCGGAAAACUCGGUUGUUAGAGAAGAACAAGGACGUUAGUAACGGAACGUCCCCUGACGGUAGCUAACCAGAAAGCCACGGCUAACUACGUGCCAGCAGCCGCGGUAAUACGUAGGUGGCAAGCGUUGUCCGGAUUUAUUGGGCGUAAAGCGAGCGCAGGCGGUUUCUUAAGUCUGAUGUGAAAGCCCCCGGCUCAACCGGGGAGGGUCAUUGGAAACUGGGAGACUUGAGUGCAGAAGAGGAGAGUGGAAUUCCAUGUGUAGCGGUGAAAUGCGUAGAUAUAUGGAGGAACACCAGUGGCGAAGGCGGCUCUCUGGUCUGUAACUGACGCUGAGGCUCGAAAGCGUGGGGAGCAAACAGG
This 429-nucleotide ribosomal RNA is filed under the name Gemmatimonadota bacterium. RNAcentral describes it as "Gemmatimonadetes bacterium partial 16S ribosomal RNA". It matches the Rfam family "Bacterial small subunit ribosomal RNA", at positions 355 to 776 of the family's 1533-position model. The record is from RNAcentral. Lineage: Bacteria; Pseudomonadati; Gemmatimonadota.